RNAcentral lists this ribosomal RNA (749 nucleotides) under uncultured bacterium. RNAcentral's name for it is "bacterial SSU rRNA". It matches the Rfam family "Bacterial small subunit ribosomal RNA", at positions 48 to 792 of the family's 1533-position model. The record is from RNAcentral.
CUUACACAUGCAAGUCGAACGGCAGCGCGGGGCAACCUGGCGGCGAGUGGCGAACGGGUGAGUAAUAUAUCGGAACGUGCCCUGGAGUGGGGGAUAACGCAGCGAAAGUUGCGCUAAUACCGCAUACGAUCUAAGGAUGAAAGCGGGGGAUUCGCAAGAACCUCGUGCUCCUGGAGCGGCCGAUAUCUGAUUAGCUAGUUGGUGGGGUAAAGGCCUACCAAGGCAUCGAUCAGUAGCUGGUCUGAGAGGACGACCAGCCACACUGGAACUGAGACACGGUCCAGACUCCUACGGGAGGCAGCAGUGGGGAAUUUUGGACAAUGGGCGAAAGCCUGAUCCAGCAAUGCCGCGUGAGUGAAGAAGGCCUUCGGGUUGUAAAGCUCUUUUGUCAGGGAAGAAACGGUGAAGGCUAAUAUCCUUUGCUAAUGACGGUACCUGAAGAAUAAGCACCGGCUAACUACGUGCCAGCAGCCGCGGUAAUACGUAGGGUGCAAGCGUUAAUCGGAAUUACUGGGCGUAAAGCGUGCGCAGGCGGUUUUGUAAGUCUGUCGUGAAAUCCCCGGGCUCAACCUGGGAAUUGCGAUGGAGACUGCAAGGCUAGAAUCUGGCAGAGGGGGGUAGAAUUCCACGUGUAGCAGUGAAAUGCGUAGAGAUGUGGAGGAACACCGAUGGCGAAGGCAGCCCCCUGGGUCAAGAUUGACGCUCAUGCACGAAAGCGUGGGGAGCAAACAGGAUUAGAUACCCUGGUA